UACGAAGGAUGCAAGCGUUAUCCGGAUUCAUUGGGCUUAAAGGGCGCGUAGGUGGCCUUAUAAGUCAGUGGUGAAAUCUCUCGGCUUAACUGAGAAAUUGCCAUUGAUACUGUAGGGCUUGAGUACAGUUGCUGUGGGCGGAAUAUGACAUGUAGUGGUGAAAUACAUAGAGAUGUCAUAGAACACCGAUUGCGAAGGCAGCUCACAAAACUGUAACUGACACUGAGGCUCGAAAGUGCGGGGAUCAAACAGG
This 253-nucleotide ribosomal RNA is filed under the name uncultured bacterium. RNAcentral describes it as "partial 16S ribosomal RNA". It matches the Rfam family "Bacterial small subunit ribosomal RNA", at positions 524 to 776 of the family's 1533-position model. The record is from RNAcentral.